RNAcentral lists this transfer RNA (73 nucleotides) under Staphylococcus aureus. RNAcentral describes it as "tRNA-Thr". It matches the Rfam family "tRNA". Rfam says of the family: Transfer RNA (tRNA) molecules are approximately 80 nucleotides in length. Their secondary structure includes four short double-helical elements and three loops (D, anti-codon, and T loops). Further hydrogen bonds mediate the characteristic L-shaped molecular structure. tRNAs have two regions of fundamental functional importance: the anti-codon, which is responsible for specific mRNA codon recognition, and the 3' end, to which the tRNAs corresponding amino acid is attached (by aminoacyl-tRNA synthetases). tRNAs cope with the degeneracy of the genetic code in two manners: having more than one tRNA (with a specific anti-codon) for a particular amino acid; and 'wobble' base-pairing, i.e. permitting non-standard base-pairing at the 3rd anti-codon position. The record is from RNAcentral. Lineage: Bacteria; Bacillati; Bacillota; Bacilli; Caryophanales; Staphylococcaceae. RNAcentral also lists the same sequence under 1 other name.
GCCUCCGUAGCUCAGCUGGCAGAGCAUCCGCCUUGUAAGCGGACGGUCACCGGUUCGAAUCCGGUCGGAGGCU